RNAcentral lists this ribosomal RNA (345 nucleotides) under uncultured bacterium. RNAcentral's name for it is "bacterial SSU rRNA". It matches the Rfam family "Bacterial small subunit ribosomal RNA", at positions 28 to 392 of the family's 1533-position model. The record is from RNAcentral.
GAUGAACGCUGGCGAGAUGCCUUACACAUGGCAAGUCGUACGGGGGGAUUUUUAAUUCAAGUGGCGGACGGGGUGAGUAACACGUAAGAAUUUGCCUUUAGGGAGGGGGACAACAACUGGAAACGGUUGCUAAUACCCCCAUAUGCUUUCGAGUGAAAUGGAUUUUUCCGCCUAAAGAGAAGCUUGCGGCUGAUUAGCUUGUUGGUGAGGUAAUGGCUCACCAAGGCGACGAUCAGUAUCUGGUUUGAGAGGAUGAUCAGACACACUGGAACUGAGACACGGUCCAGACUCCUACGGGAGGCAGCAGUGGGGAAUUUUCCGCAAUGGGCGAAAGCCUGACGGAGC